RNAcentral lists this unclassified non-coding RNA (620 nucleotides) under Hevea brasiliensis (rubber tree). The record is from RNAcentral. Lineage: Eukaryota; Viridiplantae; Streptophyta; Magnoliopsida; Malpighiales; Euphorbiaceae.
AAGAACGUAGUUCACCAGAUUAAUUGGACAACUAAAGAAGUUGUGAGUAAUUGAGGUAAUACAGAUAAACAUAAAACACACUGUAACUAAUAUUCUGAGAUGUGUGCAGCUUAACUUACAGGUUGCAGUUCAUUGUUUAUCUACAUUAUGUAUAAACUCUGCAGUGAGGUAUCUAAAAUACUAGUACAUCUCUGCAGUCAAUACAAUGCAGAGGUGAAAUGAGAUAUCUGUAACUUUUGGCCUGAUAUCAUAUUUCACAAGCUGUUACAUAGUAAGCAACCGUUUCUUUAAUGUCAUGCUUCAUGUCCUGAGCCUCUGAUAAAAUGGAUAGCCGUUGCAGUUGUCAAUCCCAAUAAUCCACCAGCUACAACCUGAGGAGGAGUGUGACCAAGGAGUUCUCGUAAUGGCCUACUAUCUGCAAGAGGAUGUUCAGAAGGAAGUUCGUAUAAAAUUUGAUUCAGGACCUCUGCCUGACGUCCAGCAUGUAAUCUUACACCCGUGGCAUCAUACAUGACCACACACGCUAAAACUAAUGCACAAGCAAAGAGCGCCCCCCCAAAGCCCUCUUGCAAACCAACAGCCACAGCUAGAGCAGUUACUGUUGAUGAAUGGGAUGAGGG